GUAGUCUGCAACCCGACUACAUGAAGCUGGAAUCGCUAGUAAUCGCGGAUCAGAAUGCCGCGGUGAAUACGUUCCCGGGUCUUGUACACACCGCCCGUCACACCAUGGGAGUCGGAAAUGCCCGAAGUCAGUGACCCAACCGUAAGGAGGGAGCUGCCGAAGGUGGAGCCGGUAACUGGGGUGAAGUCGUAACAAGGUACC
RNAcentral lists this ribosomal RNA (201 nucleotides) under uncultured bacterium. RNAcentral's name for it is "partial 16S ribosomal RNA". It matches the Rfam family "Bacterial small subunit ribosomal RNA", at positions 1300 to 1500 of the family's 1533-position model. The record is from RNAcentral.